RNAcentral lists this unclassified non-coding RNA (463 nucleotides) under uncultured fungus. RNAcentral's name for it is "sequence contains ITS2". The stretch from base 1 to 154 matches the Rfam family "5.8S ribosomal RNA". The record is from RNAcentral. Lineage: Eukaryota; Fungi.
AACUUUCGACAAUGGAUCUCUUGGCUCUCGCAUCGAUGAAGAACGCAACGAAAUGCGAUACGUAAUGUGAAUUGCAGAAUUCAGUGAAUCAUCGAAUCUUUGAACGCAUAUUGCGCUCUUUGGUAUUCCGAAGAGCAUGCUUGUUUGAGUAUCAGUAAACACCUCACAUCCGUCAAUUUGUUUUGAAGGCUUUGGACUUGAGCAAUUCCAACACCAGUCUUUACGAUCGGUGGAGGGUUGCUUGAAAUGCAGGUGCAGCUGGACAUUCUCCUGAGCUAUAAGAAUAUUUAUUUAGUCCCGUCAAACGGAUUAUUACUUUUGCUGCAGCUAACAUAAAGGGAGUCUGACCAUAUUGGCUGACUGAUGCAGGAUUUCACAAGGGUCGGCAACGAUUCUUGUAAAACUCGAUCUCAAAUCAAGUAAGACUACCCGCUGAACUUAAGCAUAUCAAUAAGCGGAGGCU